CCUACGGGAGGCUGCAGUAGGGAAUAUUGGGCAAUGGGGGCAACCCUGACCCAGCCAUGCCGCGUGCCGGACGAAGGCCCUCUGGGUUGUAAACGGCUUUUAUCAAGGAAGAACGUACUCUUUGCGAAGGGUAGUGACGGUACUUGAGGAAUCAGCACCGGCUAACUCCGUGCCAGCAGCCGCGGUAAUACGGAGGGUGCAAGCGUUGUCCGGAUUUAUUGGGUUUAAAGGGUGCGUAGGUGGCCCCUUAAGUCAGGCCUGAAAGCCGGCGGCUC
Molecule: ribosomal RNA, 275 nt
Filed under: uncultured Fibrella sp.
Lineage: Bacteria; Pseudomonadati; Bacteroidota; Cytophagia; Cytophagales; Spirosomataceae
Description: partial 16S ribosomal RNA
Rfam family: Bacterial small subunit ribosomal RNA
Source: RNAcentral